Molecule: ribosomal RNA, 292 nt
Filed under: uncultured bacterium
Lineage: Bacteria
Description: partial 16S ribosomal RNA
Rfam family: Bacterial small subunit ribosomal RNA
Source: RNAcentral
GUGUCAGCCGCCGCGGUAAUACGUAGGGGGCGAGCGUUGUCCGGAUUCAUUGGGCGUAAAGCGCGCGCAGGCGGCUGUGCGAGCCCGGCGUGAAAGCCCCCGGCUCAACCGGGGGAGGUCGUCGGGGACCGCAUGGCUAGAGGCCGGUAGGGGCGAGCGGAAUUCCCGGUGUAGUGGUGGAAUGCGUAGAGAUCGGGAGGAACACCAGUGGCGAAGGCGGCUCGCUGGGCCGGUCCUGACGCUCAGGCGCGAAAGCGUGGGGAGCGAUCCGGAUUAGAAACCCCCGUAGUCC